This 788-nucleotide ribosomal RNA is filed under the name uncultured archaeon. RNAcentral's name for it is "bacterial SSU rRNA". It matches the Rfam family "Archaeal small subunit ribosomal RNA", at positions 85 to 879 of the family's 1478-position model. The record is from RNAcentral.
ACUGCUCAGUAACACGUAGCUAACCUACCCUUAAGUCAGAGAUAACCUCGGGAAACUGAGGGUAAGAUCUGAUAAGAGACAUACCCUGGAAUGAUUUGUCUCCUAAACUCGUGCUUAAGGAUGGGGCUGCGGCGGAUUAGGUUGUUGGCGGGGUAAUAGCCCACCAAGCCGAAGAUCCGUAAGGGCUCUUAGCGGAGAGGCCCUGAGAGGGAAUCUGAGACACUAUUCCCAGCCCUACGGGGUGCAGCAGUUAGGCAUAAUCUACAAUGCGCGCAAGCGUGAUAGUUUGAGCCAGAGUGCUUUACAAUCGUAAAGCUUUUGUGAAAUCUAAAAAUUUUCACGAAUAAGGACUGGGUAAGACGAGUGCCAGCCGCCGCGGUAAUACUCGCGGUCCAAGUCGCAGCCAUUUUUAUUGGGUCUAAAACAUCCGUAGCUUGCUUGAUAAGUUUCUUGUGAAAUCCUAUAUCUUAAGUAUGGGGCGUGCAAGAAGUACUGUCAAGCUAGAGACUGGAAGACGUAAUCAGUACGUUCGGAGUAGCGGUAAAAUGUGUUAAUCCCGGACGGACUCACGAGAGCGAAGGCAGAUUACGAGGACAGUUCUGACAGUAAGGGAUGAAAGCUAGGGGCGCAAAACGGAUUAGAUACCCGUGUAGUCCUAGCAGUAAACACUGCACACUAAACAUCGGUACCUCCUCGAGAGGUGUCGGUGCUGCAGGGAAGCCGAAGAGUGUGCUACCUGGGAAGUAUAGUCGCAAGGCCGAAACUUAAAGGAAUUGGCGGGGGAGCAC